GUGAUACUCCCUCCGUCCGAAAAUACUUGUCAUCAAAAUGGAUAAAAAAAGAUGUACCUAGAACUAAAAUACGUCUAGAUACACCCCCUUUUUUUAUCCAUUUUGAUGACAAGUAUUUCCGGACGGAGGAAGUAUCAG
Molecule: non-coding RNA, 138 nt
Organism: Triticum aestivum (bread wheat)
Lineage: Eukaryota; Viridiplantae; Streptophyta; Magnoliopsida; Poales; Poaceae
Source: Rfam